AUGCACGCUGGCGGCGUGCCUAAUACAUGCAAGUCGAGCGAACAGACGAGGAGCUUGCUCCUCUGACGUUAGCGGCGGACGGGUGAGUAACACGUGGAUAACCUACCUAUAAGACUGGGAUAACUUCGGGAAACCGGAGCUAAUACCGGAUAACAUGUUGAACCGCAUGGUUCAACAGUGAAAGACGGUCUUGCUGUCACUUAUAGAUGGAUCCGCGCCGCAUUAGCUAGUUGGUAAGGUAACGGCUUACCAAGGCAACGACGCGUAGCCGACCUGAGAGGGUGAUCGGCCACACUGGAACUGAGACACGGACCAGACUCCUACGGGAGGCAGCAGUAGGGAAUCUUCCGCAAUGGGCGAAAGCCUGACGGAGCAACGCCGCGUGAGUGAAGAAGGUCUUCGGAUCGUAAAACUCUGUUAUUAGGGAAGAACAAAUGUGUAAGUAACUAUGCACGUCUUGACGGUACCUAAUCAGAAAGCCACGGCUAACUACGUG
This 496-nucleotide ribosomal RNA is filed under the name uncultured bacterium. Its description in RNAcentral is "partial 16S ribosomal RNA". It matches the Rfam family "Bacterial small subunit ribosomal RNA", at positions 29 to 507 of the family's 1533-position model. The record is from RNAcentral.